This 253-nucleotide ribosomal RNA is filed under the name Weissella paramesenteroides. Its description in RNAcentral is "partial 16S ribosomal RNA". It matches the Rfam family "Bacterial small subunit ribosomal RNA", at positions 1096 to 1349 of the family's 1533-position model. The record is from RNAcentral. Lineage: Bacteria; Bacillati; Bacillota; Bacilli; Lactobacillales; Lactobacillaceae.
GCGCAACCCUUAUUAUUAGUUGCCAGCAUUCAGUUGGGCACUCUAGUGAGACUGCCGGUGCACAAACCGGAGGAAGGUGGGGAUGACGUCAAAUCAUCAUGCCCCUUAUGACCUGGGCUACACACGUGCUACAAUGGCAUAUACAACGAGUCGCCAACCCGCGAGGGUGCGCUAAUCUCUUAAAGUAUGUCUCAGUUCGGAUUGUAGGCUGCAACUCGCCUACAUGAAGUCGGAAUCGCUAGUAAUCGCGGAU